Molecule: unclassified non-coding RNA, 325 nt
Filed under: soil metagenome
Description: partial contains 5.8S ribosomal RNA, internal transcribed spacer 2, and large subunit ribosomal RNA
Rfam family: 5.8S ribosomal RNA (bases 1-120)
Source: RNAcentral
GAUGAAGAACGUAACGAAAUGCGAUAAGUAAUGUGAAUUGCAGAAUUCAGUGAAUCAUCGAAUCUUUGAACGCACAUUGCGCCCCUUGGUAUUCCGAGGGGCAUGCCUGUUCGAGCGUCAUAUUAACCACUCCCGCUUGCGGGGUCUUGGGCUUCGCCUCCGGGCGGGCCUUAAAAUCAGUGGCGGUGCCGUCGGGCUCUACGCGUAGUAAAUUUUCUCGCGAUAGGGUCCCGGUGGAUGCUUGCCAACAACCCCCAACUUCUUAAGGUUGACCUCGGAUCAGGUAGGGAUACCCGCUGAACUUAAGCAUAUCAAUAAGCGAGGA